Molecule: ribosomal RNA, 519 nt
Filed under: uncultured soil bacterium
Lineage: Bacteria
Description: bacterial SSU rRNA
Rfam family: Bacterial small subunit ribosomal RNA
Source: RNAcentral
AGAGUGAACGCUGGCGGCAGGCCUAACACAUGCAAGUCGAACGGCAGCACAGAGGAGCUUGCUCCUUGGGUGGCGAGUGGCGGACGGGUGAGGAAUACGUCGGAAUCUGCCUAUUUGUGGGGGAUAACGUAGGGAAACUUACGCUAAUACCGCAUACGACCUACGGGUGAAAGCGGAGGACCUUCGGGCUUCGCGCAGAUAGAUGAGCCGACGUCGGAUUAGCUAGUUGGCGGGUAAAGGCCCACCAAGGCGACGAUCCGUAGCUGGUCUGAGAGGAUGAUCAGCCACACUGGAACUGAGACACGGUCCAGACUCCUACGGGAGGCAGCAGUGGGGAAUAUUGGACAAUGGGCGCAAGCCUGAUCCAGCCAUGCCGCGUGUGUGAAGAAGGCCUCGGUUGUAAAGCACUUUUGUACGGAAGAAAAGACUUUACGGUUAAUACCCGGAAGUUACGUGAACGGUACCGUAAGAAUAAAGACAACCGGCUAACUUCGACGCCAGUACGCCGCGGUAACUCUA